This 843-nucleotide ribosomal RNA is filed under the name uncultured archaeon. Its description in RNAcentral is "bacterial SSU rRNA". It matches the Rfam family "Archaeal small subunit ribosomal RNA", at positions 79 to 923 of the family's 1478-position model. The record is from RNAcentral.
UAGAUUACGGCUCAGUAACACGUAGUCAACCUAACCUAUGGACGGGGAUAACCUCGGGAAACUGAGAAUAAUACCCGAUAGAUCAUGAUACCUGGAACGGUUUAUGGUUCAAAUGAUUUAUCGCCAUAGGAUGGGACUGCGGUCUAUCAGCUUGUUGGUGAGGUAAUGGCCCACCAAGGCUAUAACAGAUACGGGCUCUGAGAGGAGGGGCCCGGAGAUGGGUACUGAGACACGGACCCAGGUCCUAUGGGGCGCAGCAGGCGAGAAACCUUUGCAAUGUGCGAAAGCACGACAAGGUUAAUCCGAGUGAUUCCUGCUAAAGGAAUCUUUUGUUAGUCAUAAAACCACUGAUGAAUAAGGGGUGGGCAAGUUCUGGUGUCAGCCGCCGCGGUAAUACCAGCACCUCGAGUGGUCAGGAGGUUUAUUGGGCCUAAAGCAUCCGUAGCCGGCCGUUCAAGUUUCCGGUUAAAUCCACACGCUUAACGUAUGGGCUGCCGGAAAUACUGUUCAGCUAGGGAGUGGGAGAGGUAGACGGUACUCGAUAGGAAGGGGUAAAAUCCUUUGAUCUAUUGAUGACCACCUGUGGCGAAGGCGGUCUACCAGAACACGUUCGACGGUGAGGGAUGAAAGCUGGGGGAGCAAACCGGAUUAGAUACCCGGGUAGUCCCAGCUGUAAACGAUGCAGACUCGGUGAUGCAUUGGCUUGUGGCCAGUGCAGUGCCGCAGGGAAGCCGUUAAGUUUGCCGCCUGGGAAGUACGUACGCAAGUAUGAAACUUAAAGGAAUUGGCGGGGGAGCACCACAAGGGGUGAAGCCUGCGGUUCAAUUGGAUUCAACGCCGGGA